Molecule: small nuclear RNA, 24 nt
Filed under: Arabidopsis thaliana (thale cress)
Lineage: Eukaryota; Viridiplantae; Streptophyta; Magnoliopsida; Brassicales; Brassicaceae
Description: snRNA_01996
Source: RNAcentral
UCUGAAACCAAGAUUUUCUACAAC